CAGAGUUUGGAGAAACCCAGGAAUGAAGAAGGCCUGGGUCUUCUGUUUCCCCAGUUUAGGAAGAUGAGAGAAUAAAUAAAAUCGUUGCUGCUCCGAGAAAACCUAGGAAAAGAGACCAUGGAGAUUUUGACCUCCUGCCAUGAGGAAAAGGGUGAGAAAAAAUUAAGGGGUGGGGAAGGGAGAAUUCCAGCUGGGUGUGGAGGGAAAAUUAAGUGAAUGGGGAGUCGCCUGGGUUGGGAAGAAGCCAGUCUGUGAAGUGGCACCUCCCCAGGUGCCUGCGGAGUCUGGGAGGUUGAGGCAGACGCCAGCCUGCUCCCCUCUCUUCCUGCAGCUCUUCCUUCUCAAGCCCCAGCCCUUUCCCAAGACAGCAAAGACCAGAGCAAGUUCCAGGUGGGUUGAGUUUUCUUUUCUUUCAGGAAUACCCCCUCAGGCAUCAGAAAGUAAACCUAUCUCCCUCCCUUGGUUAAAGGAAAAAGAAAAAAAUUA
This 486-nucleotide long non-coding RNA is filed under the name Marmota monax (woodchuck). The record is from RNAcentral. Lineage: Eukaryota; Metazoa; Chordata; Mammalia; Rodentia; Sciuridae.